Molecule: ribosomal RNA, 235 nt
Filed under: uncultured bacterium
Lineage: Bacteria
Description: partial 16S ribosomal RNA
Rfam family: Bacterial small subunit ribosomal RNA
Source: RNAcentral
CGCACGGGUGAGUAACACGUAUCCAACCUGCCGUCUACCCUUGGACAGCCUUCUGAAAGGAAGAUUAAUACAAGAUGGCAUCAUGAGUCCGCAUGUUCACAUGAUUAAAGGUAUUCCGGUAGACGAUGGGGAUGCGUUCCAUUAGAUAGUAGGCGGGGUAACGGCCCACCUAGUCUUCGAUGGAUAGGGGUUCUGAGAGGAAGGUCCCCCACAUUGGAACUGAGACACGGUCCAA